This 69-nucleotide transfer RNA is filed under the name Camelus dromedarius (Arabian camel). It matches the Rfam family "tRNA". Rfam says of the family: Transfer RNA (tRNA) molecules are approximately 80 nucleotides in length. Their secondary structure includes four short double-helical elements and three loops (D, anti-codon, and T loops). Lineage: Eukaryota; Metazoa; Chordata; Mammalia; Artiodactyla; Camelidae. The record is from Rfam by way of RNAcentral. RNAcentral also lists the same sequence under 1 other name.
GAGGGUAUAGCUUGGUGGAGUGCAUGCUUCACAAGCACGAGGUAUUGGGUUCAAGCCCCAGUACCUCCU